GUGGUCAGCAGACCAGUCCAGCCCGUUGGGGAUGCCAAGCCGGUCGGCCAGGCACAGCACCGAGUGGUUCCCCUGCAUCUGCAAGUCUGUCGCUACUGAGCCCUGGUGUACUGAAUGCAGUACUAAGCCUUGGGGAACUGAGCCCUGGUAUCCUGAACCUUGAGGUACUGAGUCCUGCGGUACUGAGCCUUGGGGUACUGAGCCCUGGUCUAGUGAGCCUUGGGGUACUGAGCCCUGGUCUGUGCUGGAGGGCGGUGCUGUUCCUCUGCCUAUUGCAACCCCAGGAACUUCUUGGCAGCCUCAGCCAGGACAGCACAGGCCCCCCCUCCUGGCCAGGAGACCCCUGUGAGCAGCAGGAGAUGCAUGUAUACAACAGAAGACCACUGUAUGCAGCAGGAGUGCUCCAUAUACAGCAGGACUCCCAUGUAUACCUCAGGAGAUGAAUAUGGGCUCAACCUGCACCCCAGCAUUUCCUCAGCAGUUGCUGCAGGUGACUCUGUCAAUCUGUGGCUGUCCUGGGUCCUCUGCAGCUGUCCUGUGUCUUAGCAGGUGGCCAUGAUCUUCUGCAGGUGUCCUGUGCUGUCAAAAGUUGACCAUGGUGCUCAGGAGCAGGUACUGUGUGCUGUCACCAGGUAGCUGUGAAUUUCAGGAGAAGGCCCUGUUCCUUAAGAUGUGUCCUGUGAAAGUGUCCUGCCACUUUGAAGAUGUCUUUUUGCUGUACAUGUUCUGUGCCCUCAGCAGGUACUACUGCCCUUCAACAGGUACCCUUACUCUUUUGCAGAUGUCUUGUGACUUUUGUAGGUAUCCCGUGCCCUUAACAGGUGACCCUGCCCUUUUCAGGUGACUCUGAUACUUAACAGGCAUCCUUUGCCCUGGGCAGUUGGUCCUGUGCCAUCAACAUUUGUUCCUGCCUGUCUACACGUGUUAUAGGACCUCUGUGUCCUGGGCCUUCAACAGGUUGCCCUACUCUUCUGAAGAUAACCUGUGUCUUCUGCAUGUGACUCUCAUCUUAAGCAGGUGGCCCUUGUCCUUAAUAGCUGUUCUGUGGCCUCAACAGUUGACCGUGCCCAUUUGCAGGUGUUUUGGGUCUUCAGAAUGUCUUCUGUUACUUCAGCAGGUGUCCAGACCCCACAGUAGGUGGCCCUGGUCUUUAACAACUGCUCUGUGCCUUCACCAGUUCAUUAUGACAUUUUGCAGCUGUCCUGGGUCCUGUGCAGGUAUCCCAUUCUCUCAACAGGCAGCCCUUCCCUCUGAAGAUGUUCUGUGCCCUCACUAGGAAACCUUACCCCUCUGAAUGUGUUCUCUGUCCUCUGCAGUUUAGGACCUAACAUAAUCCGAACCCUAACCCUACCCUAACUCCUACCUCUACCCCUAAAUCUGAUGAGUGUUUGUCCCUGAGGGCACUGUAGAAUACAAGGGGUAAAAACUGUAAGGACAAGGCCAGUUCAGGCACCCUUUCCUCUGCUGUCCAAGAAACAAGCUGGGGACCUCUCCUUGGACCUG
Molecule: non-coding RNA, 1503 nt
Organism: Myodes glareolus (Bank vole)
Lineage: Eukaryota; Metazoa; Chordata; Mammalia; Rodentia; Cricetidae
Source: RefSeq, a predicted model, not a curated record